AUUGAACGCCUGCGGCAGGCCUAACACAUGCAAGUCGAACGAGUUGCGGACGGGUGAGUAAUGUCUGGGAAACUGCCUGAUGGUGGGGGAUAACUACUGGAAACGGUCGCUAAUACCGCAUACCAUCGGAUGUGCCCAGAUGGGAUUAGCUCGUAGGUGGGGUAACGGCUCACCUAGGCGACGAUCCCUAGCUGGUCUGAGAGGAUGACCAGGCACACAGAAACUGAGACACGGUCCAGACUCCUACGGUAGGCAGCAGUGGGGAAUAUUGCACAAUGGGCGCAAGCCUGAUGCAGCCAUGCCGCGUGUAUGAAGAAGGCCGUCGGGUUGUAAAGUACUUGCAGCGGGGAGGCGUUAGCCGCAGAAGAAGCACCGGCUAACGCCGUGCCAGCAGCCGCGGUAAUAC
RNAcentral lists this ribosomal RNA (406 nucleotides) under uncultured bacterium. Its description in RNAcentral is "partial 16S ribosomal RNA". It matches the Rfam family "Bacterial small subunit ribosomal RNA", at positions 30 to 526 of the family's 1533-position model. The record is from RNAcentral.